This 205-nucleotide long non-coding RNA is filed under the name Lathyrus oleraceus (garden pea). RNAcentral describes it as "Pisum sativum (pea) long non-coding RNA (PSAT_LNC016618)". Lineage: Eukaryota; Viridiplantae; Streptophyta; Magnoliopsida; Fabales; Fabaceae. The record is from RNAcentral.
AAAUUGACAAAAACCUGUAUGUUUUCGAGAAGUUUAUUUUGCACUAAUCGUUGUGGUGCAGUCACUUUAAUUUUUUUGGCCUUUUUGUGCCCGAUUUUUUUUUUUUUAAUCAUUUUUAAACAUUUUUUAGUCAAAAUGAUCGACAUAAUUAAUUAGAAUUAAUUGAUCAUUUAGUUUGAAUUUAUGUUGUGUAUUUUAAUUUAAU